Molecule: long non-coding RNA, 958 nt
Organism: Neofelis nebulosa (Clouded leopard)
Lineage: Eukaryota; Metazoa; Chordata; Mammalia; Carnivora; Felidae
Exons: 3
Source: RefSeq, a predicted model, not a curated record
AGCAGAAAUCAACAUGAUUUUCUCUUUGCUCUCCUUCAAAGAGCAAAGAGAAUGAUUUUCUUUUUGCUCUCCUUCAAAGAGCAAAGAGAAUAAAAAAUUUCCUGUUUUAUGACUGCUCUUUUUUCUCAGAUAAUCUGAGCCAAGACCAGUGCACAUAUAUCACUCUUACUUCAUGAGAGCUCCUGUCUUUUGGGUUCACAAAUUCUUCUGGGUUUUGAGGGUGAGAGGCUGGUUCACCAAAGAGGUGUGAGAUUGCGAUUCCCUGACUUCUGUUGACAGAGGGCCCAGGUUGGAGCCAAGUGUGAACUCAACCUGAGGAAUUAGGCCUCCAUGAUUGAGCUUGAGCAAAAGACAAAUUGGAAAACAGAGACAUUUAAGUUUGCAUUUUCAUUAAAAUAGGACUUUACAAAAUAGAUCUUUUCUUUCUUUCUAGUCAAAAGGAGAGGUUGCAUUGAAAAGACUUUGGGGGAACAUAAUACAGUGGCUGUUACAUUGCUCUCCUUGAAUUGAUUUGCCUGUGUGGUCCUGCAGAUCAGAAGUCUGGAGGACGAGGCUGCUACUCUGCUCGAAGAAUUGAUGAGAGCCCUGCUGAGCCCACACUGGAAACAGAGAACUGAGGGAGCUGAUGGAAGACAGAAAAUCAGCAGGUGUGGAGCAUGAGAAUAACCCAGAGAAGGACAAGGUAAUGGUGGAACGGUGGCUGCCCAAGGACCUGAGUAUACGGGCAAGUUGAGCUCAGAACAAUCUGGAGAAACUGAGGAACGUGUACAGUAGCAUCCAACCCUGCAAGGAGCAGCCUGAGGAGAGCAGUGAGGACUGGGGGUGUAACGCACUCCACAGUGAACAGUGCACCUGCCAGGGAGCCCCACAGGACAGACGGGGGUUGGUUUGCACUGCCGGGAAGCACCGUUUCUAAGGGUAGGAUGGUGUGACCAUGAGGCUCUGCCCCAGUCCCCAA